RNAcentral lists this transfer RNA (75 nucleotides) under Nitrososphaerota archaeon. RNAcentral describes it as "tRNA-Arg". It matches the Rfam family "tRNA". Rfam says of the family: Transfer RNA (tRNA) molecules are approximately 80 nucleotides in length. Their secondary structure includes four short double-helical elements and three loops (D, anti-codon, and T loops). The record is from RNAcentral. RNAcentral also lists the same sequence under 2 other names. Lineage: Archaea; Thermoproteati; Nitrososphaerota.
GGGCCCGUAGCGCAGUACGGAUAGCGUGGCAGCCUUCUAAGCUGUAGGUCGUGGGUUCAAAUCCCACCGGGCCCG